GUGGGAUACGAACCCACACCCGAGAACUCAAAAUCCUCCGUACUACCUCUAUACUAUCUUCUAGUAAAGUCAGC
Molecule: transfer RNA, 74 nt
Filed under: Trachylepis varia
Lineage: Eukaryota; Metazoa; Chordata; Lepidosauria; Squamata; Scincidae
Description: tRNA-Gln
Source: RNAcentral